ACUGGGCGUAAAGGGCACGCAGGCGGUGACUUAAGUGAGGUGUGAAAGCCCCGGGCUUAACCUGGGAAUUGCAUUUCAUACUGGGUCGCUAGAGUACUUUAGGGAGGGGUAGAAUUCCACGUGUAGCGGUGAAAUGCGUAGAGAUGUGGAGGAAUACCGAAGGCGAAGGCAGCCCCUUGGGAAUGUACUGACGCUCAUGUGCGAAAGCGUGGGGAGCAAACAGGAUUAGAUACCCUGGUAGUCCACGCUGUAAACGAUGUCGAUUUGGGGGUUGAGCUUUGAGCUUGGCGCCCGUAGCUAACGUGAUAAAUCGACCGCCUGGGGAGUACGGCCGCAAGGUUAAAACUCAAAUGAAUUGACGGGGGCCCGCACAAGCGGUGGAGCAUGUGGUUUAAUCCGAUGCAACGCGAAGAACCUUACCUACUCUUGACAUCCAGAGAACAUUCCAGAGAUGGAUUGGUGCCUUCGGGAACUCUGAGACAGGUGCUGCAUGGCUGUCGUCAGCUCGUGUCGUGAG
RNAcentral lists this ribosomal RNA (517 nucleotides) under uncultured bacterium. Its description in RNAcentral is "bacterial SSU rRNA". It matches the Rfam family "Bacterial small subunit ribosomal RNA", at positions 553 to 1071 of the family's 1533-position model. The record is from RNAcentral.